UGGUCAUUCGGUUGAAGUGGAGA
This 23-nucleotide non-coding RNA is filed under the name Arabidopsis thaliana (thale cress). Lineage: Eukaryota; Viridiplantae; Streptophyta; Magnoliopsida; Brassicales; Brassicaceae. The record is from RNAcentral.